This 920-nucleotide long non-coding RNA is filed under the name Panax ginseng (ginseng). RNAcentral's name for it is "long non-coding RNA (PGIN_LNC007749)". The record is from RNAcentral. Lineage: Eukaryota; Viridiplantae; Streptophyta; Magnoliopsida; Apiales; Araliaceae.
UGCUCUCGGACGCUGGCGCUGGCUGGAGCCUAUAAUGAGAUACAAAUUCGAUUACUAAUAAUAAUUUAUAUAAUGUGAUACAUUCGGAUAAUUUCGUGAAACAUAAAAAAAUAUUACCUCCAGGAAGUGUAUAUGCGGGUAUCCUCGGUAGACCCAAUACUCGAUAUCUGUCGGUACUGCUACUAGGGGGAUCCUGAGACGCGACCCAUAGUCUCAGCUCCUAAUCCCGAUCUAAUACAAUAUCGGAAAGAGGGAUGGCGGAAUCUAACGGCUCAGAACCCCUCCUAAUAGUCUCUAGCUCAGUUAUACGCUCAUCCCGAAGCUUCUGAAAUCGGUCCUGUAAUGUAUUCCAUAUACGUAUGUUAAUUAUAUCAUUUUAUUUACGAUUGAAUAUUAUUAAAAGCUAAAUAAUAAGAUGAGUUUUACCCGUAUAGCUAAAGCUGCCUGAGACAAAGCACGCUCGUCCUUAGGCGUGUGGGCUCGAUCCCAAAACUCUAGCAUGGUAGGAUCUCGGCCCAAGGUCCUCCCCAAUGCCUAAUAUAAACAUUCAUAAAAUAGGUCUUAAGUAUUUGUGUGAGAACUUAACACAUAAAUAACUAAAUACAACGCACUUACCGUCUUCACCUCCUCGAACGACUAAGAACCAGUGGUGUGUACUAUCCGGAGCUGACCACAGUUCUUCUUCGCCUGCUCGAACUUUUUCUUGAAGUCAUCAGCCUCCUAGUGAGCACACAUAGCCUCCUAGGCUAAAUCGGAGACUAUAUGGGGCUGAUGAUCUCUGAUGGUGGUCUCGGGCUGGUCCACAUCUGCCCAGGCUGCCUUCUGUCGCAUCUCAUACAGCCAUUCAGAGUAAUUCGCAGUGACGUAAUGCUCAAUCACAGCAUCGCCAGCUGACUGAGAGAUGCUCGGGUCAAAUCGAU